GAAUAUUGGUCAAUGGCCUAACGGCUGAACUGGCAACUUGGAGAAGUGGCAAGUCUUCCAGUAUGGGGAGCAAAACAGCUAUGGGUCAAGUCCGAUAUCUUUAGGAGAAGUCUUAUUGUGAGGGCGAGUUAUAUAACACCAUAGGACUGGCCGUCCCAUAUGAAAAGAUUAUAUUAGAAUUGAAUGAAGCUUUGUUUAUAUAUUGAUAAUGACAGUAUAUAUAUCGUGUCUUGACUAAUUGCGUGCCAGCAGUCGCGGUAAUACGUAAGAGACUAGUGUUAUUCAUCUUAAUUAGGUUUAAAGGGUACCCAGACGGUCAAUAUAGCUUAUAAAAUGUUAGUACUUGACUAGAGUUUUAUGUAAGAGGGCAGUACUUGAGGAGGAGAGAUGAAAUUUCGUGAUACCAAAGGGACUCUGUAAAGGCGAAGGCAGCCCUCUAUGUAAAAACUGACGUUGAAGGACGAAGGCACAGAGAACAAACAGGAUUAGAUACCCAAGUAGUCUUUGCAGUAAAUGAUGAAUGCCAUAGGUUAGAUUGAUCAAUUAUAGUCUAGGGUUAGUCUAGCAAACUAAUGCCCUAUGAUAUAAUUCAAAAUAUCUGGUCUAUAAAUGAAAGUGUAAGCAUUUCACCUCAAGAGUAAUGUGGCAACGCAGGAACUGAAAUCACUAGACCGUUUCUGACACCAGUAGUGAAGUAUGUUAUUUAAUUC
This 710-nucleotide ribosomal RNA is filed under the name Fusarium oxysporum f. sp. niveum. RNAcentral describes it as "SSU rRNA". It matches the Rfam family "Bacterial small subunit ribosomal RNA", at positions 359 to 952 of the family's 1533-position model. Lineage: Eukaryota; Fungi; Ascomycota; Sordariomycetes; Hypocreales; Nectriaceae. The record is from RNAcentral.